UUGGUCUUUUAUUUUUUCCUUCAUGGUGGAAAUGGGCUUCCAUAAUAACUUGCAAAAAGGAAAAAAAUUAAUUCUGGUCAGGAGUAUGUAAACAUGGCAUGAAACUUUUUGCCUUUGGUCUGGUCUUCAAACUUUCUCGUCCUUUUUUUCCCCCCUCACAGAUCUGCUGUGUAUAACACUGCAUGUGGCAGUAUUUUCUUCUUUUCAGACACUGUCUUCACAACAUUUGCCAGGUCAUCAAAAAGCUCCCACACAAAUGGAGCUCUCCGGCAGUAUGCAGUGUAAUGUCCCAGGCCAUCUUUGGUCAAGCUUCCCCUGAAAGCGACGACUGCUCUCAAAGUAAAUUUUUUUCCUUGCAGAACCAUAGUGGAGGGAAAUUCACUCAAAGCAAAUUCAGUUGAAUUUGGAAGGUCUGUGUCAAUCCAUGCUAUUUCUCCGAUACUGUAGUUGUGAGUAACGGUUCCUGCACAGAGAGCAUUUCCUGAAGUGCUGGCUCCUGUUUUUAAUUCUGCUGGACAUUCUGAUUCAUUCUGCAGUGGUCUGAGGCAGGGAGACUGUGGAAGGAAGAGUCCUUUUUCUAUGGAAGUGUGAAGCUGAGCCAUACCAGAAUUCUUCAGGACAGAAAUGUCUGGUGAAACAAAUGAUCUGCCCUCUGGAAGUAUGUCCUUGGGGUCACACCAUCUGUAGUAAUGGACUUCACCAGCUGCAGGAGAGGGUUGUCACUGUUAUUCAUGACAACAUUUUGAAAUGCAGAGCUGUCACAGAAAGUACAGCAUAAGCACUGACAAAAGGCAUCGAAGGCGCAGGUGUUUAACACAGAGAUUGACAGUUUACCAACUUUAACAGGCUGAUGCAUGUUUCCAUUUUUUAAUAGUCCCACUUUCACUCUUUUGGCCCCAGAUGAUGAAUCUGCAUGGAGCCAUUCAGUGCAGGAACUCAAGUAUGAAGUCCUCUUCCUCUUUUUGGGUGGAAGAAUUUGUCCUCUCCAGUUUUCAACCACGUUUUCAUCUGCUGUGGAAAGAGCAAAUCCGCAUAUUUCCUUCGAUGAAGGAAAGGUGCCGAAAAUGAAGCGAUCCACUGAAUGGGCAAGUUCUCAUGUUUGAACAGGCCAUGUUUUAUUUUUGAAUUCGGCUUCAACAUUGGCUGAGCUUGCUGUGAGACUGGUGCUUUUGAAGAGGGGAACCAUUAUUCCUGUCCACAGUGGUUAGGACAAGGAGUGAAGGCCUUCACCAGAGCACCAAGAAUAGCCAGGAAAAGUCACUCACAGCUUCUUUUGAACACCUUGGUAUAAGAAGAUGUGGCCAGAUGUACCAUUUGGUCUUGCCAGUUUUCUGACAACUGAACCAGUUGCAUCAAAGCAAACUACUGAGGGACAUUUUUUGGUUGCCAGGUUUGGAAGGUGACUUGGCUCGGGAUCUCCAAUAUCCAUCAACUCUGAUGCCUUUGCUGACCUCCAUACAGAUGGUUCCAUCCUGCCUUCACACAACUCUUCUGAAAUCUGUGCACGAAGGGUUCCUGACAUGAAUCUUUGGACUGGCCAGUGUGCAGGGAGAUGUCGGCGCCUUCAAUGGAACACUGGAGCACCAUUGGGCUGUUGACCGUUGGCUCUCUGUCACAUGUCAUUUUAACACGACUUUGACACUCUUUACAGAAACCUGUGAUGUCAAUGUACUUGCUAGCGACAGUUGGAUAAACUUUUGCUCUUUGGAAUACAAAUGUACAAGUGCUUUUCAACUUUUUCCAAACCAGAUCAUUAAUUAUAUGACUCCAUGUGCCAGGUUUUAAAA
Molecule: long non-coding RNA, 1787 nt
Organism: Gambusia affinis (western mosquitofish)
Lineage: Eukaryota; Metazoa; Chordata; Actinopteri; Cyprinodontiformes; Poeciliidae
Exons: 6
Source: RefSeq, a predicted model, not a curated record